This 503-nucleotide ribosomal RNA is filed under the name uncultured Glomus. RNAcentral describes it as "SSU rRNA". It matches the Rfam family "Eukaryotic small subunit ribosomal RNA", at positions 569 to 1077 of the family's 1831-position model. The record is from RNAcentral. Lineage: Eukaryota; Fungi; Glomeromycota; Glomeromycetes; Glomerales; Glomeraceae.
AGCAGCCGCGGUAAUUCCAGCUCCAAUAGCGUAUAUUAAAGUUGCUGCAGUUAAAAAGCUCGUAGUUGAAUUUCGGGAUCAAUAUGUUGGUCGUGCCUUGGUACGUACUAGCUUAUUGAUUUCUCCUUUCUGAUGAACCAUAAUGUCAUUAAUUUGGUGUCAUGGGGAAUCAGGACUGUUACUUUGAAAAAUUAGAGUGUUUAAAGCAGGCUCACGCUUGAAUACAUUAGCAUGGAAUAAUGAAAUAGGACGUUUGAUUCUAUUUUGUUGGUUUCUAGGAUCGACGUAAUGAUUAAUAGGGAUAGUUGGGGGCAUUAGUAUUCAAUUGUCAGAGGUGAAAUUCUUGGAUUUAUUGAAGACUAACUACUGCGAAAGCAUUUGCCAAGGAUGUUUUCAUUAAUCAAGAACGAAAGUUAGGGGAUCGAAGACGAUCAGAUACCGUCGUAGUCUUAACCAUAAACUAUGCCGACUAGGGAUCGGAUGAUGUUAAUUUUUAAUGACUC